RNAcentral lists this microRNA (18 nucleotides) under Homo sapiens (human). Its description in RNAcentral is "hsa-miR-4299". Lineage: Eukaryota; Metazoa; Chordata; Mammalia; Primates; Hominidae. The record is from miRBase by way of RNAcentral.
GCUGGUGACAUGAGAGGC